AUUGAACGCUGGCGGCAGGCCUAACACAUGCAAGUCGAACGGUAACAGGAAGAAGCUUGCUUCUUUGCUGACGAGUGGCGGGCGGGUGAGUAAUGUCUGGGAAACUGCCUGAUGGAGGGGGAUAACUACUGGAAACGGUAGCUAAUACCGCAUAACGUCGCAAGACCAAAGAGGGGGACCUUCGGGCCUCUUGCCAUCGGAUGUGCCCAGAUGGGAUUAGCUAGUAGGUGGGGUAACGGCUCACCUAGGCGACGAUCCCUAGCUGGUCUGAGAGGAUGACAAGCCACACUGGAACUGAGACACGGUCCAGACUCCUACGGGAGGCAGCAGUGGGGAAUAUUGCACAAUGGGCGCAAGCCUGAUGCAGCCAUGCCGCGUGUAUGAAGAAGGCCUUCGGGUUGUAAAGUACUUUCAGCGGGGAGGAAGGGAGUAAAGUUAAUACCUUUGCUCAUUGACGUUACCCGCAGAAGAAGCACCGGCUAACUCCGUG
This 490-nucleotide ribosomal RNA is filed under the name uncultured bacterium. RNAcentral describes it as "partial 16S ribosomal RNA". It matches the Rfam family "Bacterial small subunit ribosomal RNA", at positions 30 to 507 of the family's 1533-position model. The record is from RNAcentral.